AUGAGUUGUCAUGAUGGCAUCAACAUCCACGAUGGAAAGUUCUACCUAGGUGAUGCUGGCUAUGCAUGUCGGCCAGGUGUUCUUCCACCCUCCAGGUAAACCAGGUACCAUCUAAAUGAGUUCUCUGGUGGGAACUAUCCUAGGACUCCUCAGAAACUAUUCGAUCUCAGACACUAGAGCCUCGGAGUAACGACUGAGUGGGCAUUUGGAGCCCUAAAGAAUAGGUUUAAGAUCUUGGAGCAUAAGCCAUUCCACCCUUACCCUACCCAGGUCAAGCUUAUUCUUGCAUGUUGCAUCAUUCAUAACUGGAUACUACAAAUAGGAAUUGAUGAACUUGUGCCGAAGGAGGAAGAUUUGAUUCCUGAUGAUGUGAUCAGCUCUGGCCAUGGUGUGGAGGUGUUCGACAGUGAAUUGUGGAAGAAGAAAAGGUUGGAGUGGGCUGAGGCAACGUGGGAUAAUAGAGGUCAGACAAGGAUCUCAAGCAGCAGAAGAAGAUGCAGCAGCUGA
This 507-nucleotide ribosomal RNA is filed under the name Triticum aestivum (bread wheat). Its description in RNAcentral is "partial small subunit ribosomal RNA". Lineage: Eukaryota; Viridiplantae; Streptophyta; Magnoliopsida; Poales; Poaceae. The record is from RNAcentral.